UGAGGAAUAUUGGUCAAUGGGCGGAAGCCUGAACCAGCCAUGCCGCGUGAAGGACUAAGGCCCUACGGGUCGUAAACUUCUUUAGACGCAGAGCAAUAAGGUCCACGUGUGGACCGAUGAGAGUAUGCGUAGAAUAAGCAUCGGCUAACUCCGUGCCAGCAGCCGCGGUAAUACGGAGGAUGCAAGCGUUAUCCGGAUUUAUUGGGUUUAAAGGGUGCGUAGGCUGUUUGACAAGUCAGUGGUGAAAGCCCGGGGCUUAACUCCGGAAUUGCCGUUGAUACUGUUGAGCUGGAAUACGGAUGCCGUGGGAGGAAUGAGUAGUGUAGCGGUGAAAUGCAUAGAUAUUACUCAGAACACCGAUUGCGAAGGCAUCUCACGAAUCCGUCAUUGACGCUGAGGCACGAAAGCGUGGGGAUCAAACAGGAUUAGAUACCCUGGUAGU
This 442-nucleotide ribosomal RNA is filed under the name uncultured bacterium. RNAcentral's name for it is "bacterial SSU rRNA". It matches the Rfam family "Bacterial small subunit ribosomal RNA", at positions 355 to 794 of the family's 1533-position model. The record is from RNAcentral.